RNA transcript from Trifolium pratense (red clover), 3065 nucleotides. It is a transcript of the gene named cell division cycle 20.2, cofactor of APC complex-like, with no coding region annotated. NCBI's taxonomy places the organism in Eukaryota, Viridiplantae, Streptophyta, Magnoliopsida, Fabales, Fabaceae. The transcript has 3 exons. The record is from RefSeq and is a predicted model, not a curated record.
GGGUAUAUUGCUGGUUUACUGUAUAGUUCGUCAUUCAAUCUGGUAGUUAAACUUUCUAAUUUGGUGGGGCAAAGUUUCCCAUUAGGAAUAUUUUAUCUGCAUUUUUGGCUCUGCGCCUGAGAGCAAAUAACCUGUAAAUGUUUAGUCUUCGAAUUCAAUAGUGAAUUCAAAUAGUUUUUCUGACUUGUGCCCAUUUUUACAUCUGGAUUUAAAUAUUGUACAUGAUUAGUCACAAAAAAUGUGUCUAGAACUUUGGUUGUAUAUUUUCUUCCUUGUUUUAUGGAAUCAAGUUGUGGUUUUAGUAGCUAUGUAGUGAGUUUCUUGGUGUGGUAGUGAGUUUCUCGUUCUUUCUUACAUAUCUGUUAAAAAAUCUGUCAAAAGUCAAUUUUACAAACGAAGUUGGUCAAAACCUGAUUAGACAAAAGAUUCGUUGAAAGGACUUAGUACUACAACUGUAGUAAUAACUUGGUAUAUAUAUAUAUAGUGUCUCCAUAUGUAUACAAUGAAGUUAUUUGUCCACCGUAUCGAUUUGGGAAUGACAUAACAUAAAAAUUAAGCUUAACUCCACCAUAAUAAGCCAAGAGUACUUCAUUAUGAUCUUCAAGUCACAUCAUAAAAAGGGGAAAGAGAAUCUAGCGGAGAUGUCGACUUACCAGAAACUACUCGCCGAAGCAUGUGACAUUCCAACCCGAAUAUUGGCCUUCAAGAAUAAACCUCCAACCCCUAAGGAAAUUUGGCCUCCUCUUCCUCCUCCUCCUCCGCAAUGCAGAUCAUCCAAGCCCAAAAGACACAUUCCUAAGACUUGGGAGAGGAAGUUGGAUGCCCCUUAUAUGGUAGACGACUUUUGCUUGAACUUGUUGGAUUGGGGUAGCAGUAAUGUCAUUAGUAUCGCCCUUGAAAAUAGUGUCUAUCUUUGGAAUGCUUCAAAUAGCUCCACUUCAGAACUUGUCACUGUGGAUGAUGAAUAUGGUCCUGUUACAAGUGUUAGCUGGGCCUCAGAUGGACGACAUAUAGCCGUUGGUUUGAACAAGUCACUUGUCCAAAUUUGGGAUGCAACAACUACUAAACAGCUGAGAACAUUGAGGGGUGGGCACAGAGGAAGAGUGGGUUCACUGGCUUGGAAUAGUCAUAUUCUGACAACCGGAGGAAUGGAUGGUAAAAUAGUAAACAAUGAUCUUAGAGUGAGAUCUCACAUUGUUCAAACUUACAUGGGACAUGAUCAGGAGGUUUGUGGGCUCAAAUGGUCACCCUCGGGACGACAAUUGGCGAGUGGUGGAAACGAUAAUGUUGUUCACAUAUGGGAUAGGUCUGUGGUUUCUUUAAAUUCACCUACCCGUUGCCUUCAUAGGUUUGAGGAACACAGGGCUGCUGUGAAGGCACUGGCUUGGUCUCCUUUUCAAAAUAAUCUAUUGGCUUCUGGUGGAGGUGUAGGUGAUAAUUGCAUUAAGAUGUGGAACACUCGCACAGGUGCGAGAUUGAACUCUGUUGACACAGGAUCGCAAGUAUGUGCUCUGCUGUGGAAUAAGAACGAGCGUGAGCUUCUUAGCUCACAUGGUUUCACUGAGAACCAGCUUACCCUUUGGAAGUAUCCUUCUAUGGUGAAGAUGGCAGAGCUCAACGGUCAUACGUCGAGGGUAUUGCACAUGACACAGAGUCCAGAUGGCUGUAUGGUGGCAACUGCUGCCGCGGAUGAAACUAUGAGACUUUGGAAUGUCUUUGAAACACCAGCAGCAUCAUGCAAAGCAGAGCCCUUUGCUAAGUUCAACUGUAUCCGUUGAACAAGCACAUGCAUCAUCCCCAAAAUCCCACGGCACCAUCACCAAAACCAUUAGUCCCUAUUUUAGUUUUCUAUGUCAAUCCCACCCCCCUGCCCCGCCCUGCCCCACACACACACGUCAUUUUUUUAUUUUAUGAUUGAAGCCUUUUCUUUGUGUCAUCUCUGCUGUGAUGUUUAUAGGUAGAAUAGUGAAUCUUUCCUUACUUUGUUACUAUUUUUCAUUUAUUAGAUAUUUUUUGUUGAUAGUUUACCUAACUGAUUUGUUGUGUCAUUUUAUUUAGGAGCCUACCUUUGUGGCUUUCUCAGCUCUCAAUCUUUGUAUGUUUAGGAUUUGAUUUUAAGUUGAUUUCAGCUUUGAUUAGGCUUUUCUUCAUGUCCAAUGCUCGCAUCUCUGUGAUUGUUGCUGCAUUUGUUGGAUCAACCAAUUUUCACACCUCUUAGACCAUAAGUUGGUUUCCCUACACAUAAGCGAAUUUUGAUUAGUGCAUGUUUUCAACCAGUUGAAUUGACUACUAUUGCAAUACUUUACUUCCUUAUAGCUUGUAUAUGCAAAUUGAGGAAAGUGUUGAGAAUGUGAAGUAUGUCAGUGUUGGUUCAUGCUUAAUUUUAGGCUAGGUUGGGUGCACAAAUUAGGGCUUAGUGGUUCAAGGGGGAACUUAGUAUAGCUACUGAAAUGCAUGUGCUGAUGUUCUUCUAUUUGUUCCAAUUAUUUUUACUGCAGACAAAGACACUGUGAAUCACAAGACGAUAUGGCUUGAAGACUCCAUGGUUGUAUCUGUAUUGGUAUUGGAAUCUACAUCUUAGGGUUCACAAUAUCCAUAAUCCUUUCUCAACAUGUAUUGUGAUUAAGGGUUUGUUUGGAUUGUUGGAAGUUCAGGGUAUCCUUUAAUGGAUUAGGUUUUGGUGCCUUAUACUCGACAAAAUCUUACUUGGACACAACAUGAUUCAAUGAGAAGAUCGGUGAGAUACAAAAAGUUGCUAAAUAUGCAUUUGCUAGAUUGAAAGGUAGGUGAGUUGUUUGCAGAAAAGGACUGAAGUUAAGCUUCAAAAUUUGCCAGUUGUUCUUGGUGCUUGUGUUUUGCAUAAUAUUUGUGAGAUGAAAGGUGAGAAAAUGGAUCCUAAACUUAAAGUUGAUGUUAUUGAUGAUGAUAUGGUUUAGCAGGCACUUCUUUUCUCUAAACUGAUGAUAAUUAGUGUAAUUUGUUGCAUUUUGAUGAUUAUUUUCUGCUUCUUUGAGAACAUCAUUAUUUUUAUUUUUGCUUAAUUUAUUCAAUCAUUAUUUGUCGAA